AAAAAAAAAAAAAAUUGCCAUCGAUUUUAGCAAUUAUCAGUAAAACGGGAACCAUGAUAAUGAGCAAUUAUAACAGAGGUGCAUCAUGAAUUAUAACAGAUAUGCAGGAACAUACCUUCAAAACCAGUAUCAAUCCUCUAUUCUAAUACACCUAUUGUUAUGCUUUCAAUUAUUGUUUGCCCCACAUCAUAUUCCUCAAAGCAACAUAAACAUUGUGAAAAUAUACAAUAUUAAGCAUGAGAAGGCAACUAUUUGAAUGGAAGAUGUG
Molecule: unclassified non-coding RNA, 268 nt
Filed under: Hevea brasiliensis (rubber tree)
Lineage: Eukaryota; Viridiplantae; Streptophyta; Magnoliopsida; Malpighiales; Euphorbiaceae
Source: RNAcentral